CCUACGGGAGGCAGCAGUGGGGAAUAUUGCGCAAUGGGCGAAAGCCUGACGCAGCGACGCCGCGUGAGGGAUGAAGGUCUUCGGAUCGUAAACCUCUGUCAGCAGGGAAGUACGGUCACUGUGCUAAUCAGCAGUGAAUUGACGGUACCUGCAAAGGAAGCACCGGCUAACUCCGUGCCAGCAGCCGCGGUAAUACGGAGGGUGCGAGCGUUAAUCGGAAUUACUGGGCGUAAAGCGCUCGUAGGCGGUAUGUCAAGUCAAGGGUGAAAUCCCCGCGCUCAACGUGGGAACUGCCGUUGAAACGGGCAAACUGGAGUGUGUGAGAGGAUAGUGGAAUUCCAGGUGUAGGAGUGAAAUGCGUAGAUAUCUGGAGGAACAUCAGUGGCGAAGGCGACUAUCUGGCACAUAACUGACGCUGAGGAGCGAAAGCGUGGGUAGCAAACAGGAUUAGAUACCCGUGUAGUC
Molecule: ribosomal RNA, 465 nt
Filed under: uncultured bacterium
Lineage: Bacteria
Description: partial 16S ribosomal RNA
Rfam family: Bacterial small subunit ribosomal RNA
Source: RNAcentral